Molecule: unclassified non-coding RNA, 1633 nt
Filed under: Drosophila erecta
Lineage: Eukaryota; Metazoa; Arthropoda; Insecta; Diptera; Drosophilidae
Description: GG24857
Source: RNAcentral
CACUAAUAAAUAUAUAAUAUCUUCAUCUGUUAUGAAAAUGAUAAGUAAUACUGGAAUUUCAGCAUCGCUGAUUAGGAUCGCCCUGUCCAAAGCACCUUUACAUAAUGGCCAAGCGACAGACUUGGGAGCAGAUGCGCCAGAUCUUUGUCCAGGCGGUAAACGCCGUGCAUCCUGAGAAGGUAUUCGCUGACUUCCAAAAGUUCGAUUUGCGGCCUCAAAGCGGCGAGAACCCAGCGGAUAUAUCCAUAAAACUCAAUGGAGAGCGUCAGGACAUCAGCGGGAAGAAGUGCCACAUAGUUGGGUUUGGCAAAGCAGUCCUGGGAAUGGCCAACAAAGUGCAGCAGGAUCUGGGAGCCACCUCGGCCGGCGGAGUCCUCAGUGUUCCGGUAAACACCCUGAUGCAGUUCCAACAACCUGUUGCAUCUGGUUUGGUUGUCCACGAAGGAGCGGCCAACAACCUGCCGGAUGAGAAUGCUCUCAAGGCAGCCCGGGAAAUCAAGCAGCUGGCCGAGAAGAUGACCGCCCAGGACAUCCUCUUCGUCUUCAUCUCGGGAGGUGGGUCUGCCCUUUUGCCGUUGCCCCGGUCACCUCUGACUCUGGAGGACAAGCGAAGCAUUGCGGAUAAACUUAUGAAGCGGGGAGCCAGCAUCCAGGAGAUUAAUACUGUUAGGAUUGCUUGCUCGGACAUCAAGGGCGGUCGCUUGGCCAGGCUUGCCGGCAAGGCGGGCCUCCUGGUGACCUUCGUGCUUAGCGACAUCAUCGGUGAUCCCCUGGAGCUGAUAGCCUGCGGUCCCACCAUACAACCCGAGGCGGGAGCAUCUCCAUCCGACAUCCUCAAAAAGCAUCAUGUGUGGGAGGAGCUGUCCGCCGAGAUACAGCGGGUGUUUGAGCAGCCGGAGGAGCAGAUGCACACAUCGCUGCCCGAGCACAAGGUAUUUGUGGUGGGCAGCAAUCUGAUAGCCACUUCCACAGCGGCCAAGGAGGCCGAAAAUCUGGGUUAUAUUCCCUGCGUGCUCAGUUGUGCUGUGCAAGGAGACGUGGCCCAAGUGGCUGGCGAUUAUCAAAGAUUGCUGCACGGCAUCCAGGAGGCCAAGCAGCAGGGCAUACUGGAUCCCCAGCUCAGGGAGAGGUACGCCUUUGGAGAGAGCAGUUAUCCGGCUUUUCGGAGGGCCCUGGAAGAGCACAUGAACAGCAAGAAACCACUGUUCCUGAUCUGUGGAGGAGAGCCAGUCAUUAAAGUUUCUGGUCAAGGAUUGGGCGGCAGGAGUCAGCACUUAGCCCUGCUGAUGUCGCAAGCUCUGCACCGCGACGAGGCCAUACGGAACUGCACCUUCCUGAGCGCCGGAACUGAUGGCAUCGAUGGACCCACCGAUGCGGCCGGAGCUAUGGGAGACAGCAGCGUGGUGGAAUCCUAUCUGGGUGAUCACACCCUCGAUGAACUGGCCGAAACGCUGCGGAAUUGCGACAGCUACAACUUUUACAAGAAUCUCGCGCAGGGAGAGCACCACGUGCUCACUGGACACACGGGUACCAAUGUGAUGGAUCUGCAUUUCCUGGUCGUGCCGUAGAGUAACGCCCCCGCUCGCCCAUAAAUCCAUUUAGUUGUAUACUUGCAUAUAUAUACAUGUAUAUA